RNAcentral lists this ribosomal RNA (422 nucleotides) under uncultured bacterium. RNAcentral describes it as "bacterial SSU rRNA". It matches the Rfam family "Bacterial small subunit ribosomal RNA", at positions 355 to 774 of the family's 1533-position model. The record is from RNAcentral.
UAAGGAAUAUUGGACGAUGGAGGCAACUCUGAUCCAGCCAUGCCGCGUGAAGGAAUAAGGCCCUAUGGGUUGUAAACUUCUUUUAGACGGGACAAAACCCCUUUACGUGUAAAGGGUUGAUGGUACUGUAAGAAUAAGCAUCGGCUAACUUCGUGCAAGCAGCCGCGGUAAUACGAAGGAUGCAAGCGUUAUCCGGAAUUAUUGGGUUAAAAGGGUGCGUAGGCGGACUAAUAAGUCAGUGGUGAAAGCCUGCAGCUUAACUGCAGAAUUGCCAUUGAUACUGUUAGUCUUGAGUACAGUUGAGGUAGGCGGAAUGUGUCAUGUAGCGGUGAAAUGCUUAGAUAUUACACAGAACACCGAUUGCGAAGGCAGCUUGCUAAGCUGUAACUGACGCUGAGGCACGAAAGCGUGGGGAGCAAACA